GGAAGAGCAUCGCCUCCGGUGAGGCGCGCGGCCUUCAAAGCCGUUGAGACGCUUAGUCUGCGUCUGGUGGGUUCGACUCCUACCUCUUCCG
Molecule: transfer RNA, 91 nt
Filed under: Gammaproteobacteria bacterium
Lineage: Bacteria; Pseudomonadati; Pseudomonadota; Gammaproteobacteria
Description: tRNA-Sec
Rfam family: Selenocysteine transfer RNA
Source: RNAcentral